AGUGAACGCUGGCGGUAGGCCUAACACAUGCAAGUCGAACGGCAGCACAGUAAGAGCUUGCUCUUACGGGUGGCGAGUGGCGGACGGGUGAGGAAUACAUCGGAAUCUACUUUUUCGUGGGGGAUAACGUAGGGAAACUUACGCUAAUACCGCAUACGACCUACGGGUGAAAGCAGGGGAUCUUCGGACCUUGCGCGAUAGAAUGAGCCGAUGUCGGAUUGGCUAGUUGGCGGGGUAAAGGCCCACCAAGGCGACGAUCCGUAGCUGGUCUGAGAGGAUGAUCAGCCGCACUGGAAAUGAGACACGGACCAGACGCCUACGGGAGGGAGCAGUGGGGAAUAUUGGACAAUGGGCGCAAGCCUGAUCCAGCCCUCCCGCGUUGGUGAAGCAGGCCUUCGGGUUGUAAAGCCCUUUUGUUGGGAAAGAAAUCCAGCCGGCUAAUACCUGGUUGGGAUGACGGUACCCAAAGAAUAAGCACCGGCUAACUUCGUGCCAGCAGCCGCCGUAA
RNAcentral lists this ribosomal RNA (508 nucleotides) under uncultured bacterium. Its description in RNAcentral is "partial 16S ribosomal RNA". It matches the Rfam family "Bacterial small subunit ribosomal RNA", at positions 29 to 523 of the family's 1533-position model. The record is from RNAcentral.